Molecule: ribosomal RNA, 591 nt
Filed under: Triticum aestivum (bread wheat)
Lineage: Eukaryota; Viridiplantae; Streptophyta; Magnoliopsida; Poales; Poaceae
Description: partial small subunit ribosomal RNA
Source: RNAcentral
AUGAUUCAAGUUCAAUUUCCAGGAAGGACGUUCAUGCCCAUCACUGAGCCCAUAGAGUCUUCCUUUGAUGCACCAACCUGGAGUCUAGGAAAGAGCAUGGCAGCCCACAUUACCAUUGGACGUAUUGGAGAAGUUUACCACAAGGAUCUCAAGGAUACUAUUUACCAGAUUUGUGGGCACCGAGACGAGCAAUGGGAGAUGAUCAGUACCAGGAAGGAUAGAUCAAUUGCAGCCUUCAUCCAGGAGCUAAACCAGCACAUUCGUCGCCAGGAGAACCAGAUGUGCGCAGGCAUGAUAGAUCUGAAGAAGGCAUUGACCAAGAUCACGGAGCUGGAAGAAGAACUCAAGUCUACACGCGAUGGAUAUGAAGAGGAAAUGACGACAAUCGUGGAGAAGAAUGAUGAUCUGAAGAAGAAGCUAAAAGUAUUCAUGGGAUUCCCCGCGACUGGAGGAGAAGACGAUGAUUGCACUUGCCCAGAGAACUACAUCAUCAUCGACGACACCGAUUCGGACCCAGACGAUAGCGAUGAUGAUUUUGUUGAUGAAGCUGGAGCAGAUAUCAUGCAGUCUUCGACCGAUCAAUUUUUCUAG